This 56-nucleotide transfer RNA is filed under the name Phyllodactylus leoni. Its description in RNAcentral is "tRNA-Val". Lineage: Eukaryota; Metazoa; Chordata; Lepidosauria; Squamata; Phyllodactylidae. The record is from RNAcentral.
UUACACUACAAAGCACCCAACUUACACUUGGGAGACGUUGCUUCAACCCCCCUGAG